Molecule: long non-coding RNA, 6484 nt
Filed under: Lotus japonicus
Lineage: Eukaryota; Viridiplantae; Streptophyta; Magnoliopsida; Fabales; Fabaceae
Description: long non-coding RNA (LJAP_LNC001004)
Source: RNAcentral
UCUCUGAUUGAUAAACUUCAUUUACAUGCUUCAAAAUUCUUAGAACAAGAUUUGAUCAUUUCAUGAAAUAAGGAUUUAAGCUCCUUCACCAUCAUCUUCUCAUUUUCCUUGGUAAAAGCCUUAAUUUCUUGAUUAGUAUGUCUGUAUAUUUGAUUUCAAAAUUUAUCUGGUGUUUGAGAUAGUGAUAUGGUGCUGAGAACAUGUUGGAAAUUUCAAAACCACGUUCUGUUAUGAAUUCCGUCACAAACAUCAGUUUUUCCGUCACAAAGCUCUGUUUUUCCGUCACUAACAGAACCUGCAGGGGACAAUUUCCUGUUUCGGUUCUCCAACUUGAAAAUUGCAUAACUCUCUCAUCUUUUAUCCGUUUUAGGUAUAUGACCACUUUUUAGAAAGCCCCAAGAGUCUACUUUAAUAUAAAAUAUAUUUGAAACUCUUUCUACUGCUAAUUGGCUGAAGAAAAUAUAUAUUUCUAACGUAGUAUGUUUUACUAAUCUCUUUACAAAGGUUGUUGUGGUUGAGUAGAGUUUCAUGUUAAUGUAUUAAGUUUUCUAAAAAUUUGUUUUCUUUGAGUUAAGUGGUUUUGGGGUUUUAAGGAUUUUGUUUUAAGCCUUAAUUAGUUGUUUUAAGUGCUAAAAAUAGCUUUGAAAUAGAUUUGGCGAAAAAGGAAAAUUUGUACAUGGUUAUGUAGGUGUGGCCGAGACUAUGGUACGUGCUUUGGGUUUGGAAAAUUACUUCUGAACUUGUUUUUUUUCUUUAAUGAAAAUCCUAAGUUAAGUUUGAGGACUAAAAGUUUAUUGUGGGAAAACUUUGGACUUAAGACACAAGAGGUUGAAGAGUUUUGGGUUAAACUUGAGUUUUAAAAGUCUUGGGGUUUGUUUGAUAAAUUUAUUAAAGAUUGAGGGUUGAAAAAGAACUUACUCUUAGAUGAGGACCUUUGCGUGAUUAUGUGUUUGUCAAGGGACUAGGGUUGAAUUACUUAAAAAUUGAGGGGUUGUUUUCCUUAUGGGCUUUUGAAGGACCGUUCUUUAACUUGCAAAUAUCUUCUCUUUGGACUUUAGUCCUUGAAACAUAAAGCAUAUGCAUUAACCUAAGUGAGUUAGAAUGAUUAGCUAAACUUGUUUUGGAACUUUAGAUGUGACCUUAGAGGCUAAGGUUUAGUAUAUGAACUUGUGAAGGGUACGAAGGACGAAAGCGCCUUGCGGCGAAGCUAAAGAAUAAAAGGAAGCGAGCCGACGUGGAAAACAAAGAUGUGAUUGGAUUGAAGUUGCAGUUUAGGAAAGAAAUUGGCUAAGGUAAGGGCAACUUACCUUACUAGCUAAUGCUUUAGGUGUCGACGAAUUCGACUUGAUUUAUUGUUUAUGCACUUGUUUGUGAUUGACUGGGAAAAGUUUUCUGAGGCUUCGGCUGACAAUGUAGAUGAUUCAUCUACUGAAUGUUUUUGGAGAUUGACUUACAUGCUAUGUGCUAUGUGGGUAAUCUAGGAUGUGUGGUGCAUGCCUUAUAUGCUAAGUGCUAUGUGGUUAUUGCUUAUUAUGUUGAUAUAUGACAUGUUGAUUGAUGGUGCUGAGUUAUUUAUGCUUUAGCAAUGAAAUCUGAGUUUCUGAAUAGUGAGAAUAGCGGGCAGGUCAUGCCGAUUUUAUUUUGAGAGUUUUGGGGAAAGUUUGAUAGGACGAAUGAGAUUUGGGACUUGUUAUGGUGUUUUAUGGAUCGAGACAUUCUCUGGUGUCAUUUGGGGAUUAGAAGAUCCCGAGAACUGAUAGGAUUUGCGAUAAGACUAAAAGGAUACUAUUUUGUAAAGAAAACUCAUAAGACAUUAAACAACCUCUAAAUCUUCACAUAAGGAUAAUAAACUCGAGAGGAAGCUUCGGAUGCAAAUCUUAGUUUUGGAAAACGAGAAGUGUCGUCGGAUCCAAGUGUUGAUGGAGUUUGAUAAGUUUUGAGUAUGUUGAUACUCUUGUGCUGUUGGAGCAGCUAUGUGUUGUUGGGCUAUCCGGGGGAUAAGUCCGGAAAAUUGAUAUUUUCCGAGUAUGUUGAUACUCUUGCUCGUUGAGCAGUUUUGACCAUCGGAUGGAGAUGAGUCGGAUGAUUUGGAGAUCAUCAGGAGAUACAGUAUAUGCCUUCGGGUACAGUAUAUGCCUUCGGGUACAGUAUAUGCCUUCGGGUACAGUAUAUACCUUCGGGUACAGUAUAUCUAUAUACCUUCGGGUACAGUAUAUCUAUAUACCUUCGGGUACAGUAUAUGCCUUCGGGUACAGUAUAUACCUUCGGGUACAGUAUAUCUAUAUACCUUCGGGUACAGUAUAUGCCUUCGGGUACAGUAUAUGCCUUCGGGUACAGUAUAUCUAUAUACCUUCGGGUACAGUAUAUCUUUAUGCCUUCGGGUACAGUUUAUGCCUUCGAGUACAGUUUAUGCCUUCGGGUACUGUUUAUACCUUCGGGUAAUUCGGACAUCGACGGGGGAUAUGAUCGACCGUGAGGUUAGGAUCGACCUGUUGAUUGUCGGGCAUGGCGGAGGGAAAAGUCGACUCGCAGGGUUAGGACUGAUCCGGCUAUGUCAAGGUUGUAAGUGACACCCGAGGGUUAUGGUCGACACAAUGCCAGUGUUAGGACCGACUCGAUCGUGCCCAGCCUACUUCUUCCGGAACCGUUGAAAUUGACGUUGCAUUGACAUAUCAUGCACUCUAACUAUAUUCGUUGAGAUUCUGAUGAUUUGAUGUUGAUAAACAUCGUUAUGUGUUUUGAUGAUUUGAUGUUGAUAAACAUCGUUAUGUGCUUUGAUGAUUGAAUUGUAUUAGAGAUUUGAUAACAUGCUAUGUUUAAACCUUAGGGUAGACAGUGCAGAACUCAUACGUAUAUAUACAACAUAUAUAUAUAUACCCCUUAUACUUUACUUGUUGUCUUGUAUUCUUUAUACCAUAUUCCGUAAGUUGACCCUUGCACGUGCUACCUGUGUUUGGGGGGCUAUGUAUGCCCUUUUUGUCAGAUGCCGUUGACGGAUUGUUUCGUGAUGCUUCGUCGUACGGGGAAGACCCGGAGCGAAAUGACUACUACUGAGCCUUCGACGUGGACCCGGACUGAAUGCAUGACCAGAUGAGGGUCGAUGAUGGAAGUAUAGGGUAUGGGUGUUUAGAGUCUACUAAGGUUGGGUGUUAGUGUCCUAGCUCUGACUUAUUCUUAUUUUUGAGGGCUUGUGUUGCUGACACUUGACCUUUCUUUUGGUUUGUACUUUUGCCUACGGGCGUUACCUUUUCUUACUUCCCGUCACUGGAGUUUUACUCGUGACGUGGUUUACUACUUACAGCGGGGGCUGUAAUAUAUAUUGUGUAUUAGUUCUGCUAUCUCUCGCAUUUGCGUUUAUUGAUUUUAGUCUUGUUUAUAUUAUCAAAAAAAAAAUAAUCCAUGUUUUUCCGCCUUAAGUUUCUUUUGGUUACUAAAGUGACGCCACCGAAAUCGGGGUGUUACAUUGUGGUAUCAGAGCUUGUCGAGUCUUUCGGGAGUCUUUGGGGAAUAGGUCUUCUGUGCUAGGUUGUGUGACUCUGCAAAGAGUGAAAAUUGAUUGUCUGCAAGCGAUUUUUCGCUUAGAAUUGAUUGAAGUUAUUGCUUAAUCAUAUUGUAUAGCAUGCUAGAUGCUAUCUUAUGAUGAGUACUAACUGUUUGAUUGACUUAACAUAACCUAGAUGUUAUCCUAGGAAUGAAUUAGUUGUCCCACUAUCAUUGUCUUUUGGACUGCAACCGAAUAAGAUGAUAUGUCUGUUGAGACGCCGUCGGUCAACAUUGGGACUAGAAGAGUGAAACAAUCGAAGGGAAAGCAGAGUGCUUUAGUAAGAGUUAUUUGGAACAAAGACACAGACGGUGCCAUAUGGGAGUUAGAGGAAAAGAUCAAGAACAAUAUUCAGAACUUUUACUGACCCUUAAGUUUCGAGGUCGAAACUUUCUUUUUGGAGGGUAGUAAUGUAAGACCCAAGUUUUUAAGCUUAGAAUAAGUGGAAGAGAUUUCCAUUUACGAUUAGGUUUGACGUAUCGUGAAGGGAAAACCUGAACAAGAGUUUAUCGAAUGGAAUAAAUUUGUGAAGGAGAAAGUUCAGGAAAAGUCUAAGGAUUGUAUCAGAAUCGAUAAAAGGUAUAGCACGAUCGAUUCGCUAAAACCUAGGACAAGAACCUUAGGAUAAGACUAUGUUCCACCCUUGGAACACUGUAGGAAUUUAGUCCAAAAAUCUUCAGAGAAAUGUUAGAACUUCUCUUAUUCCAUAUAUCACAAUCGUUUCGAUGCGAAACUCUAGGAUCUACGAACGUCCGAUUCCAAUCAUCGGAAGUUUGCCGAAACUAAAACCCUGAUAGUUCAAGAACCCUAGAAUCAACCGACGAUGAAGACUUUUUCUAUUCGGAACUUCAGAUGAAGAUUCUACACGCGUACACCCAUUUCUCUUGAUGAUUUCAAUCUUUCUUCAGAAGGAAGUUUUCUCUUCCGACAUCCACUGCAAAAAGUAACUUAUCGGGUAAAAUAGUUUUACCCCGACUUUGCGUUAGUCACCUAAAAUACCAGGAAACCUCUUUUGACUUUUGGAUUUAUGUCGCCAAAACCUAUCUUAGAAUUCACGGAGAAUGAAGCCGGAAAAAUCGGAAUCACUCUUAUAUUUUUAUCUUAACUCUGAGUUAAAUCCUCCGAUAUCUAAACAAAACUGUACCAGUUUACAAAAUAUCUACUCAUUCUUAUCCUAUCUCUGAUAAAUAUCUAUUCAACCUUAUCCGAUCUUUGAUAUAUAUCUACUCAUUUCUUGGUUAAUGGAUCAUUUUAAUUUGCUCAAAGUGAUCAUAAUUUAUAUUUUACUAUUUCAUAAAGUUCCUCAUAAUUUUUAGUAUAGUUAUAUAUCCAUUAGAUAUUUUUCUCUUAACUUUGUGAGCUAAAUUCUUAAGUGUAUAAAUCAAUUUAUACCAGUUUACAAAUAUCUUUCUUAAAUAUCUAAACAUCCCUAUCCUCUCUUAUUCUUUUCUUUUCUGGCAGCACCCAUAAACACACGCACACCACGGUCCCUCUCUUUCUCUCAUUCUCGUCGACUGUCUUGCUCAAUUCUGACUUUUCCUUCUUUCUCUUCAUAAUUAUCUUUCUUUCUUAUUCUUCUUCUUCUCUAUUUCUAUAUAUAUAUAUAUAUAUAUAUAUAUAUAUAUAUCUCACCAUCCUUAUCCCCCAUCCACUGUCAUACUCGACACACCCAUUCCUUUUUCUUCAUUUCUUCCAUGCCAACUUCAUCACCAUAUAUCAUGUUCUUCUUUCUCCUUCAAUCAAAGACAAACCACCACCGUCCAUUCUUCUCCUUCUCCUCUCUAUGGCCUCAAAAGGAGCAGCACCCACACGCACCACAUGAGCCACCACCUUCACGUUUUCUUCCUCUCCAUGGCAGCACCUCACCAUCACCACCGCCCCUCCUCCUCACCAUGGCUGUUGUGUCCAGCCAAGAGGCCACCACGAGGAGGCCAGCACCACAAGGAACACGUACAGCCCCAUUCAUCAUAUGGUAUUGUUCAAGCUUCAUCAUCCAUAUCAUGACAAGGAGACACCAUCACCAUGCCACUUUACUUCCUCAUGUGGUAAAACCUUUUUCCUUCCUAUCUCUGAUUGAUAAACUUCAUUUACAUGCUUCAAAAUUCUUAGAACAAGAUUUGAUCAUUUCAUGAAAUAAGGAUUUAAGCUCCUUCACCAUCAUCUUCUCAUUUUCCUUGGUAAAAGCCUUAAUUUCUUGAUUAGUAUGUCUGUAUAUUUGAUUUCAAAAUUUAUCUGGUGUUUGAGAUAGUGAUAUGGUGCUGAGAACAUGUUGGAAAUUUCAAAACCACGUUCUGUUAUGAAUUCCGUCACAAACAUCAGUUUUUCCGUCACAAAGCUCUGUUUUUCCGUCACUAACAGAACCUGCAGGGGACAAUUUCCUGUUUCGGUUCUCCAACUUGAAAAUUGCAUAACUCUCUCAUCUUUUAUCCGUGUUAGGUAUAUGACCACUUUUUAGAAAGCCCCAAGAGUCUACUUUAAUAUAAAAUAUAUUUGAAACUCUUUCUACUGCUAAUUGGCUGAAGAAAAUAUAUAUUUCUAACGUAGUAUGUUUUACUAAUCUCUUUACAAAGGUUGUUGUGGUUGAGUAGAGUUUCAUGUUAAUGUAUUAAGUUUUCUAAAAAUUUGUUUUCUUUGAGUUAAGUGGUUUUGGGGUUUUAAGGAUUUUGUUUUAAGCCUUAAUUAGUUGUUUUAAGUGCUAAAAAUAGCUUUGAAAUAGAUUUGGCGAAAAAGGAAAAUUUGUACAUGGUUAUGUAGGUGUGGCCGAGACUAUGGUACGUGCUUUGGGUUUGGAAAAUUACUUCUGAACUUGUUUUUUUUCUUUAAUGAAAAUCCUAAGUUAAGUUUGAGGACUAAAAGUUUAUUGUGGGAAAACUUUGGACUUAAGACACAAGAGGUUGAAGAGUUUUGGGUUAAACUUGAGUUUUAAAAGUCUUGGGGUUUGUU